CACGUAGGGUGCGAGCGUUGUCCGGAAUUAUUGGGCGUAAAGAGCUCGUAGGCGGUCUGUCACGUCGGCUGUGAAAACCCGAGGCUCAACCUCGGGCCUGCAGUCGAUACGGGCAGACUAGAGUUCGGUAGGGGAGACUGGAAUUCCUGGUGUAGCGGGGAAAUGCGCAGAUAUCAGGAGGAACACCGGUGGCGAAGGCGGGUCUCUGGGCCGAAACUGACGCUGAGGAGCGAAAGCGUGGGGAGCGAACAGG
This 253-nucleotide ribosomal RNA is filed under the name uncultured bacterium. RNAcentral's name for it is "partial 16S ribosomal RNA". It matches the Rfam family "Bacterial small subunit ribosomal RNA", at positions 524 to 776 of the family's 1533-position model. The record is from RNAcentral.